Molecule: long non-coding RNA, 5379 nt
Organism: Numida meleagris (helmeted guineafowl)
Lineage: Eukaryota; Metazoa; Chordata; Aves; Galliformes; Numididae
Exons: 2
Source: RefSeq, a predicted model, not a curated record
UUAAUUAUUACACAGUUCUAUGACAAAAAGAGCCCUUAUUUUCCAUACAAAGAACAGACAACUCACAGUCCUUAGGAUAGCAAUGCUCCCCAUUUCUGCAAUACUAUUGAUAAGAACACCAGCAUGCUUAAUAUUAUGGGUAAUAUUAAGCCUCCUAGAUUUGCAGCUUCUCUUAAAUGCAUUUAUAAGUAUGAAUUCCAUUUUUUUUUUUUUUUUUUGCAGACAUCCCUCUCUAGUUGCACUGCAGUAGCAGGCAGUACCAGUGGUGGGAAACACAGCAGCCUUUCCCAUUUUGUGCUACCAGGAUUACACAAAGGAAGGGAAGUGAGGAAUACGUCAUCCCCCUCAAACUACACAGAAAAUUCAGGAAGAAAGAAAAACAUCUGAGUUGGAAUGUGGCCAUGUCUUAAAGGUUAACACCCUACUUCUGUGAAAAGUGCCAUAGUCAUAUGGGUAAAAAAAAAAAGGAUAAGUCUUCAUGUUUCAUUCAAAGGAACGUAUUCAGAGCAGCCAGGUCCUUUCUAGGCACACUAAAGUGCAACAAGUAGGAUACCUUUUUUGGUUAAAUCUUUACGAAAAUGUGUGUGUCAGAAUCCAGUGAGGAAAUCAAUGAAUAAUUCUUAGCCUAUGGCUUAAUUGUGAAUCAUUUGUUUGCAUACCUCACUAUCCAUUACUCAUGUCAUUUGGUUGAUUGCUUGGGACUUUGUUUUCACUGCAGAAAGGGUCUAGUUUUGACUUGGGAUUUUCUUCCCCAGCUUUAUUAUAAAUUGAGUUUACAGAGAUAGGAACUGUCAUGCCCUGUCUCCAUUAGGAUUUAUACUGGGAUAGCCAGCUGGAGAAAGACAGCUACUUUAAUGGAAAAAAACACUGGGCUUGUGUUUGUUUUUUGUUUGCUUUGCAGCGAACGUGUCAUUUUUGUCCAAGACAUUGUUUCAGCUCCCUAAUUGAAUGACGGAAAUUUUUAAAGGAGAACAAUGAAAUGCCAUUCUUCUGAAAAAAGAUCUGGUUGUCAUCCAACUAUUUGCAAAUAAUUCUGAUUGCAGAAGGCAGAGUAAAGAAAACUCAUUUUAAAGUACUUGUGCGUACAUUCAGUAUUUGGGGUUUUUUUUGAUAGAUUCUGCCUGUUGCCACUCUUGGGCACUGCUCAGCACAGAGAGGGAAAGGCCGCUUCCCUCCCAGCGCCACCAGUUUAUGACUAAUUCAAUCCCACCCAGUAAAUAGAGCCUUGUGCUGUAGCAGUUCAGCUUUCCUCUAUCUUAUGCUCUAUGAAGCUUUAACUAACUCCAAUUAGAUAUCUAGGGGCAAGCAGGAGGCCCGGCUGACAAUAUAAGUGCAAAUUAAACGCUCACUUUUUAAAUGUCUUUCUUGUUUCUUAAGGUCUGCUUGCUAAGUAAGGUAGCAUUCAGCACUGAGGUAGAUGUCAGAAUCUCAGCCUUAGUCAUUUCUUCUUAAUGCAAUAACCUCUUGAAUGAAAUAGUUUAUUUCCUGGAAAAGGGCUUAACAGAGAAAUUAGACUGUGCUCUGGCAUGGCACUUAAAUUGGCUUCCAGAAAGCUCGUGAUUAUCUUCUGAAGCCAGCUGAGCCAAGAGUCUGUUCUUUAUCACUGCUUCUUGGUCUGUUCUCUCCUUCUCAUACCAGUUCUGCACAGCAUUUCAAGCUGAUGAUUGGGUCUGGCUGGGAAACUGCUCUAAUUCAGUUCAGGACAUCACUUCUGUUCUUUUUGUAGCUUCAUUUCAUCGCCAAAGACAUCUUGUGCAGCUGCAGGAGCCCUGCUUCUCAUCUUCUGAAAAAAACGUCUCAAGUUCUUAACCAGCUACUAGUAAUAUCACUGAUUGUUUUUCUAUCCGUCUUUCUCCUUCUAUUGGUCCAUUUAGUUUCUUUUCCAAAAUGAAAGAACUGAACUUCACAAUUUUUCUCUAGUAUAACUCACACUGAACCCCAUGGAAAAAUUCAUAUCGACUUCAGUGCUCUGGUUUAUGGUCCAGGAAGGCAUUUUCAGGUUGUGAUACUCCUUGCAGCUUAAGAAAUAAGCUCUUAGCUGUGGGAAUGUAAUUCACAGUGCUGAGUUUGGUACUUACGUUCCCUCUACAGUAAAUAGCAGAAGUUUAAAGUAGGCACUUAACUUAAAAAAAUUUAAUUAACUUUCUCAGCUGCUACAAAGGGAGUCGUGUCUCACUGCUAGCAGUUAGCUACCAUUCUCAUUCUUCCAGGACACUGUAGCAUCUUAGCACAGAAGCCAAUACUCAGCCAGUGUAUUAAGGAAAUUAUCUUCUCUCCCUGAGAGGUUGCCUUUCCAGGUAAAGACUGGCAUGUGGGGGAUAGAGGGGACAUUAGAACUUCCAUUGCUGCUGUCUGUGCAGUUCUUGUUUUUAAUAACAUCCAGAAAGACACAUUAUUCUGUAAGCAUGAGUUUAUCAGAAGGGCAACCUGACUCUAGAAAAGAAAACAACUGUCACUAUCGAUGUAAUAGAUGAAUCACAAAGGACUAAGUGGUGGUUUUCUCCUAUCCUUGAGACGCAGCCUCCAAAGGUAAGGAGGUGGGUCAUCUCCCCGCCCUUCUGUUUUCAGUCUGUUAGUUUGGAAAGUGCACAGAAAAUGUCGGGCAGCAUGAGAUUUGUGACAGAUGUUCCCAUCUAUGGAAACAGGACUGCAAGCGUGAAACAUUUCUUUGGUGUGCUUUGGUCCUCCUUGAACUCAUCGCAGCUUGCAGCUUAGAAGGGAGCCACAAUGAGGUGAAAACUUAAAUCCCUUCUUGCUAAUCCCUUGGGCUGAUCAGUCCCUUUCCUCUCUUGGGCAUGGGUGAAAAAAUGUGACUUUCCAGAAUGCUCAAAACAUCUCCAUCUAAGUAUUUUUGCAUGUACGGUCAAAAUAUGCAAAAGCCUUAAAGCAACAGCAGAAAAUUCCAGAGGAAUGUGAGUUAUUUUAAAUGACAGAAUGUUACAGAGAUUCCUUCUUGAAAUGUGUGCAGCCCGCCAGAGAAAACGACACUUUCCAUGGUGUGAUCCAUGCUCUGGAGAACCCUACAACGGGAGCAAAAAUCUGUUUAACUCCAGAGUGAUCCAAAGUAGGAAGAAGUUCACAGGAACAACUUUUUGUCUACAAAAGAAAUAGACCUUUUAUCUAUUGCCUAACAACAGGACAGCGAGUUAAGGGAAUAAAGCAGCAGUAGCCACUGCCGGCAUGGUGCCAUCAAGUUCUGCCAGAGGAGGUUCAGAUUGUAUAUUAGGAAAAACUUUUCUCCAAAAGAGUGGUCAGGCACUGGACAGGCUGCCCAGGGAGGUGGUGGAGUCACUGUCCCUGGAGAUGUUCAAGCACUGCGGAGAUGUGGUACUUGAGGACAUGGGGUAGUAAGCAAUAUUGGUGGCAGGUUGACAGUUCAACCAGAGGAUGUUAGAGGUCUUUUCCAGCCUCAGUGAUUCUACAUUUCUAUAAGAAGUGUGCUUCAAACCCAAUCUGAACUGCUGACAGUUCCCAACAACUUCCCAAGAAGUUUUUGUGCAGUUGGUCAGCACCAAAUCCCCAAACUAAAACCUAUGGAGAAGACACUGGCACUGUGCAAGGAGCUUGCACUCCUCUCCCUUGCUUGCCAGCCACCAAAUUACUUUAAAUGAGAACCUAAAAAUACAUCAAAUGCUUCCCGAUAAAUAUUUUUCCAGGUAUGCCAUUGCUGUACUUGUCACAGGGCUGCAGUGAGAAUGAAAUGCUCUACCAGCCUGCGUCCAUUAAAUGCCCAGCACAUCACGGCUAUGUCUGAGAGCCUGGGGUUUGAAUGUCAGCAGCUGCAAAGCAGAGGAAACCCAGAGAACUUCAUAGCUCCAACAGCGAUGUGGAAAAGCUUCCUGGUUUGAAAAAGUAGCAAUAAUAAAGCCUGUGAAAACUGGUAACUCCACAUUCAUGCCUGGUGUUAUGUGAUCCUUCCUCCCUUUGAGUUACACUGGAUACCUUGUUCCACCUUCGGAAAACAUCCGGCGCAGGGGAAGGAGAAUGUUUGUUCUGUUCUUCUGAAGAAGUCUGAAGCAGAGCCCAGGCCGGGCCCCUGAUGAAAGGCUUCGUGAUGCCGCGCUCCCUUGAGGAGAUUUUGAAGGAAUCCAAUUUGCUGCGAGAUACAAACGAAACUGUUUGCUCAAACAGGUUUUUUCCCCUCCGUGUGUAAUGCAAUCUUCCAAGUCAGUGGAUUCCUGUCGUACAGCUCUGCUAAGGCACACACUGCCUCGUUGUGCACAUCCAGUUAUAACAUUACAGAAAAUACCGAGGGCUCUGACAGUGCCGCAGGGUUAUUUGCAGUUCUGAAUGGCCAGAAUUGUCCCAUGUGCUGGCCGAAGUUCUGGUCCCAAAGCAAGAUGUUUCUCAGCAGACAAUCUAGGUCACCUGGAUAUUUUUAAGGCUUAUGUCAUUCUUUGCGAUGAACGCAGAAGACAUAGAAAAGGUGUUUGUCCCUUUGUCUGUUCUACAUUUAUCCUGGAAAAGAGAUCGGAGAACUUGCAAAAUUCUUCUGUGGAAACAAGGAUUACUUCUGUUCAGGAAUAAGACAAGUGAAGGACAUUUUGCAGGAGCCAAAUUCCAGACAACUGGUCCACUCUGCAGCAACAGCAAAGGGCUUUCAAUAUAGCUUCCAGCUACCUCUGGCGCAGGAGAUUGUGAAGGUUGUGAGGUGAUGUGGGCUUGAAACCCAGCAAGUCCUAGGAUAUAUUCUUACUUCUGCUACAGGCUUGCUUUGCAACUGCUUGUUAUUUCUGGAGAGGAGCGGAAGAGUUUGAUCUUACUUAAAAUAAAUUCCACAACAUAUCACCUUAGGCAAGCUUCUGUAUAAAGAUAAUAAUGUUUACUCCUUAACUUUACAAGGGGACUGGGGCUGUUAUUACAGCUGUAGCACUUUGACCGUGUAAAUGCUGCGUUGUCAUAAUUUUCUCUGCUUCACUCUGCUGUGUCUACAGCAGGACUUUGAGAUUUAUUGCUCUCAGCCAUCCUUCUUUCCUGGGUGUUGAAGACAUCAAGAAAUGGCGGUUGGACUAGGUGAUCUUAGUGAUGUUUUCCAACCUUAAUGAUUCUGUGAUUCUGCACUUCUAUGAAAUCAUGCUCACCUGUUCCAAAAGUUUGUGGGGGAAUAUUAAACACAGUUCAGGCUUUGACUCCCCGUUGGAGCAUGUUACUACAACAGUGGAAGAAAAGGUAACCGGGUGAGAGGCCAUGGCUCAAGGACGCACGAUCCAUUGCCUUUCUCUGGGUACCAAUGGCACUCACAGAAUCGUGUUCUUGGAAAAGCUGUUCCUCUGAGGCUGCUGAUUUUCUCUAUUUCAGGAUCAAUAUUAUCAACAAACCGUUAUUUCCUCCUUCGGGGACAGAUUUCUACUGCAAAUAAAUAUGGCUCAUAUUCUGUCA